RNAcentral lists this ribosomal RNA (483 nucleotides) under uncultured bacterium. RNAcentral describes it as "partial 16S ribosomal RNA". It matches the Rfam family "Bacterial small subunit ribosomal RNA", at positions 28 to 507 of the family's 1533-position model. The record is from RNAcentral.
GACGAACGCUGGCGGCGUGCUUAACACAUGCAAGUCGAACGCUGAAGCUCAGCUUUUGUUGGGUGGAUGAGUGGCGAACGGGUGGGUAACACGUGAGUAACCUGCCUCCUUCUUUGGGAUAACGCCCGGAAACGGGUGCUAAUACUGGAUAUUCACUGGUCUUCGCAUGGGGGUUGGUGGAAAGGGUUUUUCUGGUGGGGGAUGGGCUCGCGGCCUAUCAGCUUGUUGGUGGGGUGAUGGCCUACCAAGGCUUUGACGGGUAGCCGGCCUGAGAGGGUGACCGGUCACGUUGGGACUGAGAUACGGCCCAGACUCCUACGGGAGGCAGCAGUGGGGAAUAUUGCACGAUGGGCGCAAGCCUGAUGCAGCGACGCCGCGUGAGGGAUGGAGGCCUUCGGGUUGGGAAUCUCUUUCGCUCAUGGUCAAGCCGCAACAAUGGUUGUGGUGAGGGUAGUGGGUAAAGAAGCGCCGGCUAACUACGUG